GGCAGAGAUGCCUUGGUGCCUUCGGGAACGCUGAGACAGGUGCUGCAUGGCUGUCGUCAGCUCGUGUUGUGAAAUGUUGGGUUAAGUCCCGCAACGAGCGCAACCCUUAUCCUUUGUUGCCAGCGAUUCGGUCGGGAACUCAAAGGAGACUGCCGGUGAUAAACCGGAGGAAGGUGGGGAUGACGUCAAGUCAUCAUGGCCCUUACGAGUAGGGCUACACACGUGCUACAAUGGCGCAUACAAAGAGAAGCGACCUCGCGAGAGCAAGCGGACCUCAUAAAGUGCGUCGUAGUCCGGAUCGGAGUCUGCAACUCGACUCCGUGAAGUCGGAAUCGCUAGUAAUCGUGGAUCAGAAUGCCACGGUGAAUACGUUCCCGGGCCUUGUACACACCGCCCGUCACACCAUGGGAGUGGGUUGCAAAAGAAGUAGGUAGCUUAACCUUCGGGAGGGCGCUUACCACUUUGUGAUUCAUGACUGGGGUGAAGUCGUAACAAGGUAGGCGUAGCGAG
Molecule: ribosomal RNA, 510 nt
Filed under: uncultured bacterium
Lineage: Bacteria
Description: bacterial SSU rRNA
Rfam family: Bacterial small subunit ribosomal RNA
Source: RNAcentral